Cervus elaphus (red deer) is the source of this 537-nucleotide long non-coding RNA. RefSeq lists it as uncharacterized. The record is from RefSeq and is a predicted model, not a curated record. The transcript has 3 exons. Lineage: Eukaryota; Metazoa; Chordata; Mammalia; Artiodactyla; Cervidae.
UGCUUAGUCCCAGGACGGCCAUCAGUGAGUACACCAGCCCCCAGCGCCCCCAGUUUCUGUCCUGCCCCCCUUGCUGCAGUGCAGUCCCCUGGCCCCCCACCCAAGGCUGGUGGACACAUUGAGAGCAGCUGGCUGACCCCCACCUGCCACCUCGCCCAAGACCUGCAGGACAAGGCUGGACUCUACAGAGCCAAGAGCAGAGGAACUGGGGACCGAGCGGCCACCUGAGAUGAAGAAAGCUUGGAACAGCGUGUGCCGACGUCCUGGAGAUAGCAGGAGGGGAGCAAACCCCAGCCAAGACCUUCCAACUCAUCCACCGGAAGAGCGGGGCCCCACCAGGCACACAGGGCAGCCCUGGGCUGUCUGCUAAAGCCAAGAUGUGGCAGGACCCCAAGGGGAGGGGCGUCUUCCCCGGGUGCCGACCUUGGCAGGGAAACAGGAGGAUGUUCCCACGCUGACCAGAGACAGACGGGGAGGGAAGAGCCGCCAGUCUGUCCAUCCAUCCACCUGUCCGUCCACGCAGCCCACCCUGGGUGC